UACGUAGGGUGCGAGCGUUGUCCGGAAUUACUGGGCGUAAAGAGCUCGUAGGCGGUGUGUCGCGUCGGUCGUGAAAACUUGGGGCUUAACCCUGAGCUUGCGGUCGAUACGGGCAUCACUGGAGUUCGGCAGGGGAGACUGGAAUUCCUGGUGUAGCGGUGAAAUGCGCAGAUAUCAGGAGGAACACCGGUGGCGAAGGCGGGUCUCUGGGCCGAUACUGACGCUGAGGAGCGAAAGCGUGGGGAGCGAACAGG
Molecule: ribosomal RNA, 254 nt
Filed under: uncultured bacterium
Lineage: Bacteria
Description: partial 16S ribosomal RNA
Rfam family: Bacterial small subunit ribosomal RNA
Source: RNAcentral